UACGAAGGGGGCUAGCGUUGCUCGGAAUCACUGGGCGUAAAGCGCACGUAGGCGGCUUCUUAAGUCAGGGGUGAAAUCCUGGAGCUCAACUCCAGAACUGCCUUUGAUACUGAGAGCUUGAGUCCGGGAGAGGUGAGUGGAACUGCGAGUGUAGAGGUGAAAUUCGUAGAUAUUCGCAAGAACACCAGUGGCGAAGGCGGCUCACUGGCCCGGUACUGACGCUGAGGUGCGAAAGCGUGGGGAGCAAACAGG
Molecule: ribosomal RNA, 252 nt
Filed under: uncultured bacterium
Lineage: Bacteria
Description: partial 16S ribosomal RNA
Rfam family: Bacterial small subunit ribosomal RNA
Source: RNAcentral